Long non-coding RNA from Cygnus olor (mute swan), 2140 nucleotides. RefSeq lists it as uncharacterized. NCBI's taxonomy places the organism in Eukaryota, Metazoa, Chordata, Aves, Anseriformes, Anatidae. The transcript has 2 exons. The record is from RefSeq and is a predicted model, not a curated record.
CUUUCCUCAGUCAAGGAUUGUGUUAGCCUCCUUUAAGUCACAGCAUUUUACAGAGGAUUACAUUUGACUGCAGAAGUAACAACUUGAUAACAGUUGCUCCCUUCCAGUGUUGAUGGAUACAGAAGAAAAAACUGAAACAAAUGGGACUCUACUAAUGUGAAGGACUCCAGGCUGCUGCUGCUUCUGGCUGCUGAGACUUUGGGAACAGAGUGAGAAAAAAUGUGCUAAAAGAUCCAAACUGGUAUAAGUCUGCUUGCUUGAGAAGAGUACAAAAUGUUGCCUCAGCCUUAUACAGAUAUGCUGGCUGGACUUUGAUGGGAUCCCAUUUCCAAUGGCAAGUGUCUGAGAUUGAUUUUACUAGCUGCUUGACUUGCUUGAUAUAGUAAUAUUAAUAAACUGACCAUAUCCAUGGCAAAUAACAUUUUUAAAUCCUAAUCUUUGGAGAAAGUGAUUUUAGAGAAAAUAUAAGCCAUUUCUGAAUGCCGUCACAUGGGAAUGCAUAUAUGCAAAUGAAGAGAAUAGCAUCCCUGAAAAUCGCAGAGGAAAACAUAAAUCUAGAGUAUCACAUACAUAAGACCUCAAACAAAUCCUUCAAUUGCUCAGUAAUCAGGUAGCAAUUUUAAAAGAUUUAUUACUAGAUAAAUGACAAAUUAAUAAUUUACUAAUGUUUUAUGUCUAUCUGUCAAUUAAUUUUGAAUAGUCUGAUAUAGUGACCAGGUAGGUUCUGUGUCUGCACCAAGGCAGGUAGUCUGACAUGGACAAAAUAUCUUUCCCCAGCUUCGCAUUUAUUAUAAAAUGAGAUGUAAAAGCUGUUUUUAUAUGGCUUCCAAACAAGCAUGAUGCAUUUCAAACAUUAUUAAUAGUCUUUUAAAAAGCAUUUCCCUUCCUCAACAGCAUUAGCAGGGUGCUGCUUUACAAGAGAUGUGAGGGCUUUUAAAAAAUUGAGAGUAAGACCUCAUAUAAAAACCUUUUAAAUAGCUUUUUAUUCACACAGACUCUCCUGCCUGGCAAUCUUGUGAAUGACACAUAAUUAGUGUCAGACAUCAUUCAAACUGCUGACAUCAGGUGGUCACCAACAAGGACGCUGCAUGCCACAGCUGAGAUUUAAAAGCCCAGGUUCAUUUCAUGUGAAAUGAGUGCUGUGCUUUUAACCCUUAAAGUGUUUAAAUGGGGAAUUCAUUAUACUGCAACCAUUUCUGUCUUAAUGGAGUACAUUUUGUGACAUGGUGAUUGAAUGCUUUGGCAGAUGCACAAUGCUUAUAUAAGGCUGUACUUUCCUCAAGCCAUGCAAAGGCUGGAAAUUUUUUCUUCUUUUACAGUUAAGCUUAUGAAAUGAUACAAUAUCUUGGAAUUCUUUGUUAUAGUAAAUAAUGACAGAGUAUGUUUAUAUAAAUUGCAUAGAUUAUAGUAGAUGCUUGUUUACCCAACCAUUCAAUAAGAACUUGUUCCAAAGCCUGUUGAAGUCAGUACGUAAUUACUCUUUUUUCCCCUAAAGAAAAAAAAAAAGGUUCUCUCCUUCACUACGUAUCUUCACUACAGGUAGUUUCCAUCAGGCAAAUUCCAUUAAAAUUUUAAGAUCCUGCAUGACAAAAGCAUAAAUGAAAACAAAACAAAACAAAAUUACGGUCUAUGAAAAAGCCUGAAGUGUAUAGGCUUUUUAUCUUCUUUGCACUUCCCACUUUAAGCUAAGAAGCUUAUUACAUUUAAUAGAUUUACAAGAAACUUUAUAUAUUGUGCACUUCUCAUAUUGUAAGAGCUUUUGUCUAAGGAGCACAUAUUUUUUUUUGUGUAUGUGUUUAGACAGAAGAUUAAUACACUCUAUCCUCAUCUGAUUUCAUUUUUCUAAUACAUCUGUCUACUUCGGUAUAUUAUAAGCAAGAAGAGCUACAUAUUGCUGCUAUAACUGAGAAAUGCAAUGAAAUCAAUAGCAAAAAAUAUAUUAAUGCAGAUGAAAAAGUUAAUAUACAGAAGAGUGAAUUUGAUUACUUUUUUUGUUUGUCAGAUACACAAAAGAGGCUAGCAUCUUGCAUUCUCUCUGAACAAAAUCUUACUAUAUCUGUCACAUUGUCCACAUUUUGCUGAGUAUUUCCAUAUGUAGAUGUAUUACUUAAGCUUAACAAUAAAAAUCAACUUAAAUCUU